RNAcentral lists this ribosomal RNA (474 nucleotides) under uncultured organism. RNAcentral describes it as "partial 16S ribosomal RNA". It matches the Rfam family "Bacterial small subunit ribosomal RNA", at positions 335 to 800 of the family's 1533-position model. The record is from RNAcentral.
ACUCCUGCGGGAGGCAGCAGUGGGGAAUUUUGGACAAUGGGGGCAACCCUGAUCCAGCAAUGCCGCGUGAGUGAAGAAGGCCUUCGGGUUGUAAAGCUCUUUUGUCAGGGAAGAAACGGUAGUAGCGAAUAACUAUUACUAAUGACGGUACCUGAAGAAUAAGCACCGGCUAACUACGUGCCAGCAGCCGCGGUAAUACGUAGGGUGCAAGCGUUAAUCGGAAUUACUGGGCGUAAAGCGUGCGCAGGCGGUUGUGUAAGUCAGAUGUGAAAUCCCCGGGCUCAACCUGGGAAUUGCAUUUGAGACUGCACGGCUAGAGUGUGUCAGAGGGGGGUAGAAUUCCACGUGUAGCAGUGAAAUGCGUAGAUAUGUGGAGGAAUACCGAUGGCGAAGGCAGCCCCCUGGGAUAACACUGACGCUCAUGCACGAAAGCGUGGGGAGCAAACAGGAUUAGAUACCCGGGUAGUCCCAUGA